GGCGACCGGCGCACGGGUGAGUAACACGUAUCCAACCUGCCGCUUACUCGGGGAUAGCCUUUCGAAAGAAAGAUUAAUACCCGAUGGUAUAAAGAGUUCGCAUAUUCUCUUUAUUAAAGAAUUUCGGUAAGCGAUGGGGAUGCGUUCCAUUAGAUAGUUGGCGGGGUAACGGCCCACCAAGUCUACGAUGGAUAGGGGUUCUGAGAGGAAGGUCCCCCACAUUGGAACUGAGACACGGUCCAAACUCCUACGGGAGGCAGCAGUGAGGAAUAUUGGUCAAUGGACGCGAGUCUGAACCAGCCAAGUAAGCGUGAAGGAUGACUGCCCUAUGGGUUGUAAACUUCUUUUAUAAGGGAAUAAAGUGAGGGACGUGUCCCUUUUUGUAUGUACCUUAUGAAUAAGGAUCGGCUAACUCCGUGCCAGCCGCUGC
RNAcentral lists this ribosomal RNA (430 nucleotides) under uncultured bacterium. Its description in RNAcentral is "bacterial SSU rRNA". It matches the Rfam family "Bacterial small subunit ribosomal RNA", at positions 90 to 518 of the family's 1533-position model. The record is from RNAcentral.